This is an RNA transcript of Nilaparvata lugens (brown planthopper), 5664 nucleotides long. It is a transcript of the gene named band 4.1-like protein 4A, with no coding region annotated. The transcript is spliced from 23 exons. The record is from RefSeq and is a predicted model, not a curated record. NCBI's taxonomy places the organism in Eukaryota, Metazoa, Arthropoda, Insecta, Hemiptera, Delphacidae.
AGUCUGACGGGGUUUGUCGGUGUGUGUGGUUCUCAGUGCGCGUGUCAAUGAACUGUUGCUUGUCUGUUGCCAGUUCAACGCUACGAAUUGUUUCGAGUUAUUCUUCUUCGUCUGCCAAAGACUAACUUACUUGGAUCACAAACCUUGAAAACUGAAACUUUAGCUACAGACUGGUGCCGCAAUGAAGAAAAUUAUUUGGUGAAAUUGCAUCAAAUUAGUGCGCGUUAGUGUGUGAGUGUCUGCGCAUGCGUGAGUUGUGCCAAGAUGCGUUGCUUCUGCACAAAGAUCAGGACGCACCAUUGCAAGGGUGGUUCUGCUAGAUGAACAGGAACUCAUACAGGAAAUACAGGACACUAGUCGAGGCCAAGAAGUACUAGACACUGUAUACCGACACCUCAAUCUUCUAGAAACUUCUUACUUUGGCCUACGCUACAUAGAUACCUCAAACCAAACGCAUUGGCUGGAUACCACCAAAAAAGUUGUGAAACAAUUAAAAGGGAAAGAAACAUUCACGUUAUAUUUUGGAGUGAAGUUUUAUGCUGCCGAUCCUUGCAAACUUUUAGAAGAGAUAACUCGAUACCAAUUUUUUCUACAAGUGAAGCAGGAUAUCCUUCAGGGACGUCUCCCGGUGCCUUUUGACUUAGCUGCCGAGCUCGGUGCCUAUGUUGUUCAAUCUGAACUUGGUGACUAUGAUCCUAGACGACAUUCCCCUGGUUAUGUAUCGGAGUUCAGGUUCCUCUCUAACCAGAGUGUCGAGUUGGAAGGAAAGAUCGCCGAACAACAUAAAGACAUGCAGGGACAAUUACCAUCAGUAGCUGAACUAAACUACCUGGAUAAGGUGAAAUGGCUUGAAAUGUAUGGAGUAGAUCUUCAUCCUGUACUGGGUGAAGAUAACGUGGAAUACUUCCUUGGAUUGACGCCCACCGGAGUUAUAGUUUUGAGAAAUAAGAAUAAAGUGGCUAACUAUUUUUGGCCUAGAAUAACAAAGAUUUAUUUUAAGGGUAGAUACUUCAUGCUACGCGUCUGUGAUAAAAAUAAUGAGGAAAACACAUACGGCUUUGAGACACCUUCAAAGCCAGCCUGCAAGCAUUUAUACAAAUGUUGUGUUGAGCACCACGCGUUCUUCAGACUUGUGCAGGUCUCUCCCAAUCCACCCGACGUUAUAGGCACCCGUUUCAGUAGUGGUCGAGCGGAGAAGAUAUCUCAACGUGAGGCACAAAUGCGACUGCGCAGUCCGCCCCAAUUCACCAGAACGCCAAGUAGACGAUAUCAGAGGCGAAUUGUUGAAGGUGCACAAGACAUUCCCAAAGUAGACGAAAUGCCAAAGUCUAACAAAGAGAACAUUCCUGUUCAUGAAAUGAAGCACAUCUCAGUGCCUCAACCAGUGCAAUCGGUGGCCAGCCUGUACAGAGGCGCGCCCGUAAUGCCCUCUUCGCGCGGCUGCGACUCGCCACGCAGCACCCGUUCGGCCCCCUGGGGGCCAAUGGCCCCUCCGCCGUCGCGGGGCCUCUACUCGCUUGGCGGGGGCGCGCCCAGCCCCCGAUCGGUGCGGUCCCAGCCGCACUCGCAUCAGCGCAAGCAGGCCAGGCGGUCGUCCUCCGUCGAGAGUCACAGCAGCAACGACUCCAGGUCGUGUCGCAGACACAGACACAGGAGCAGACGAGGCUCGGACAAUGAAAGCGAGUUGUCGCGCUGCUCUGGCAAGUCACGGCGUCACCGACAUCGCAGUCGGCGAUCAUCGGGCAGCGAGCAUGAGUCCAGGCGACAUUCCUCCUCCAAACAUAGGUACGAACUGGUAGAAUCAGAAUCACAGUGGAAAGAGGUUCAGCGUAAGCAGGCCGAGGGCAGUAGUGGAGUACAUCACGCCAAUGUCAUAAGCAGCAGUGGAGGAGGAGGAGGAGGAGGAGGAGGAGGAGGAGGAGGAGGAGGUGGUGGAGGAGGAAGGCCUAGAUCGGGGUACAUGAACAGUGGUAUGGAGACAGAGAGUGAGCACUCGUAUCAUCAUAGGCGCAAACAUCGCAAGCACAGAUCCCGUUCGCGGUCACCUUCGGACAAACCGCGCCUGCCCGAAGAGCUGAAACAACACCUGGAGUUCCAACUGGUGGAGACGGCCGGCAUGAGUGAGUCCCAGUUGCGAGAGAUCCCCUACAAAGUGGUCGAGACUACAUCAGCCAAGGCCGCUGUCAAAGUGCGACUGUCUCCCACCAACAAGCGCAGAACACAUUCCAGUAGGAGAAUCAACAGUGGUACAUUGAAAGAAGAAGAACUCCCCAGUACCGGUGACAGUCCCCCGCCACCCUACUCAGAAUCACCGGCAACCAAUCAGAACGCUCCAAACGAAGUCACCAACUCUGAUCUGACCAAUAAGAACGCCGCUAACAAUAACAACAGUCACCAUCAGCUUCCCAGAAACGGCACUCCUGCUUUGACGCCGCAAAGCGUGGAGUCGUCGGCCCAAAACACGCGAUCGCUUUGCUCCGCUCUGUAUGGAAACCCGACAACAUUGCUCGGACAAUCCACACAUCACAACAUCAACAGACGAAACGACAAUUCCAACUGGAUCUCACAAGACCAGACGAGAGUUGUAUCCCAUCAUAACUCACAGCCGAGCAAUUCAACGGGAGGCAGUUUAUGGAAGCAAGACUUGCCGCCUAGAAAUAUUCCAUUCGGCUCCAUGCGACAAUCUCUGUCUAAUUCAAGCAACCACAAACCCUGGGUCGGCCCCGAAGUGAGAGGCACAGUGGGUCUAGCCUGGAAAACCCCCGACAACCAAUUUCCCCCAAACUUUCCCGCGUUACCAGAAACCUCCCUAAGUCGCAGACCCUCUCAGGAAGGGCUCCUCAACUAUACCUCUGCCAAACCACCACGUCCCAACAUGAACACCUCCCAAGAGUAUCUAGCCAGUUCCAACGGAGGUUUGAAUUACGCGGGGAUUUCAAGUAAUCUGAGGACUUCAAGGUCAUCAAUAAUUGACCAAGCUAACGGUAACAUAACCUACAACAGUCCCUCGAGACAGAGUUCGUUCACACAGAGCAGUAGCUUUGUAGAUCUGAAUCGAAGUAGUGGUGGGGAUAGUAGUUUGAGGCAAGUUAUGAAUGGCAGCAGUGAUCUGAAUGGGAAACCACGUGUUACUAGUAGCAGCAGUAGUAGUUUACAAUCUACUAGUAACCUAACGAAUACUUCAAAGAGCCGGAGUAACCUGUCGGUGGACCAAAAUGGCGGACCUACGCACCAAAAUGGCGGGAUGAAAGUGAACAGUCAGAGUCAGCAACAGCUGAUCGCUAGUGCGGAUGAUUUGAGUAAUGGGGUGAAAUGGGGGUUGGACGUGGUUGGUGGCGGUGGUCAGCUGCAGCAGGAUCAAGUCAACAAGAAUUGGGGUCCGGGGGUGUUCUAUCAGGGCAAGGCAGCAACUGAUAAUACGACUGGACUUGGACGCUACUACCGUCGACUGACAGUUGAUAGGGAGAUGAUAGCUGAGAGACAUGAUUUUGAGGAAACUUUCUUGACUGACUCAAAUGACGAGACUUUUGUUUAGUGACUGAUGGCGACUGAAGCGUUGACAGUGACUAGUCUGACAGCAUGACUUAUUUUAUUGACUUGACCUCAACCAGCGCACAGAAGAAUGAAGUUAACAACAAUCCAAUGAUUGUCCACGAAAUGAGCACCGAAUUGUAACAAACUCUGUGUAACAACGCUGUUUAACAUUGUAAUACUACACUCUCGUAACAAAUAACUGUAACAACACAGAGUGCAUUUGUUACACUACAUUGCUGUAUCAGAUAAAAAUAGUGUAACAUUAGAUUGUUAUAACAGACGAGUGUAACAAUAUUUACACUGAGUUACAAAUUUAAUACCUGACUGAUAUCCUAUUCAAGAAAAAAAAUAUUAAAUUCAACCUCAGGUCCCCUAGUUUAUAAUUAAUCGGCAUUAUUAUGUAAUUAUUGUCAUAGAUAGUACCUGUUAAUUUUCGAUUUCCAUAAUUGACCAGUAACACAAUCAAAAUAAUUUUAGCCUACUGUAUUAUAUACAUAUAUAUUUAUGAACCUUAUAUUGGUUAAUCUUUGAAAAACCUUUUGUAAUAAGUAUAAGUUAUAUUGUAGUACCUAAUUCAUAAUAUGUGACCAUUAGUUGGAUACAGAAUUUUGUUCAUAUAAUAGGCCUAUUUAUGUGUAUCUUGUAUCAUUAAUUUAUUCAUUUUAAUAUCAAUUUAUGUAAGUAUGUGUCAUAUUGAAGCUUUUGAUCUCAUUAGUAAUAUAAUGAUUGGGUGAGAAUGAGAGUAAUAAGUUUAUGUGUGCAUAAAUUAUGUAAGAAUGAUGUAAUGGAAGUACCGUAUUUAAUAUGAGAUAAUAAUAUUUAAUUUAAAUCAGAUGAUCCCAUAGUAUUUAUUGAUGUUUACUUUCAUUUUUAUCUAAUUAGUAGGGUAUGGAACCCACCUAAGAUAUUGAUUCGGUGAUCAAAACAUGAUGAGUGUAGGUACUUCAUUAAGGGUCUUGUAUCCUAGAGAAGCCAAGAAAUUAUAUUUUGAUUACUAUAAUUUAUGAAACCAGAAGAUGAUAUUUUAGAAGCUUCAAAAUGUGUUAUAUGUUGGAUGAAGUUUUAGAUUUUCUAAAUUAUCAGUGAAUUGUCUUCUUAUUCCUCUGAACUACCAUUCAAUUUCAUCAUUGAUAUGAAUGAGCUGAUUCCUUUUCAAAAUGACUGUUUCCAUUCCAAGGAUGGAGGAUAAAUUUGCUAGAAUAUUUUCUGAAAAAAUACUUCAAUAGAGCUGCUUUGACUGUUCAAUCAUUAUAGAUGAAAUCACUGGUACCCUCUUCAUAUUUUUUAUUUAAACACAACUGGCUCCAGCUUUCAUUUGAUUUAAUUAUUUAUUAUUUUACAAAGGCGACCUUCUAGAAGUAUUUUAAGCCUAGGUGAUGAUGAUGGGAUGAAUGAUUGAUGAUGCCAUUUUCAAGUGGCAAAAUGAAUUUUAUUUUAUAAGUAUAUAAUAAAUAAUAUCUGAAACUAUAUUUGUGUUUAAAUAAAAAUAUAGAGAGGGGAGUAGUGAUUUCUAUGAUAAUUGCUGGGAUAUGAUUGGAUUAAAUUAGAAAACCAGUGGACCCACUGUAUCUCGUCUCAUAGAAGAAAAAACAAUCUUAUUACAGAUGCAAGAAAAGUGAUAGGGCCUCGAUAAAAAAAUCAAAUGCUUCAUCCAAUAAAUAGAUGAAAAAAAUUCUAUUGAAAGUUCCAUGAACAGUGAAUAAAAGAAAAUCUAACUUUAAAAAAUUUAAUCUAUACUUGUAUUUUAGUAUUUAUCAUUGAACUCCAUAAUGUAGCCUAUAAUUUAAUGAUAAUUUAUUGGGUUUUCUCGACUUUGAGGGACUCCUUAACACACACGUAUUUGAAGUUCAUUGAUAUUUCAAUUAUUGAUAGAAUAAUAAGUUUGUUCCUAUCCAAUACCAAACCAAUAAAAAAGUGAGAACCUUAUAAAUGUAGAUGAUGUUUCCUUUACGGAAGAAUAGCCUAAAAUUCUGUAAGAGUUAAUAGAUUACAAUUUUCCAAUAACGAAUGAAAUUGGCUGUAUUGAUAUAUUGAGGAAAAUUGAUCACUUUUACUAAGUACUGUUGCAUGUCAUUACCUAUCAAUUUUAUGAAUACCUACUCAUGAAAUAAAGUUUUGUACUUUUGACUA